Leopardus geoffroyi (Geoffroy's cat) is the source of this 4939-nucleotide long non-coding RNA. RefSeq lists it as uncharacterized. NCBI's taxonomy places the organism in Eukaryota, Metazoa, Chordata, Mammalia, Carnivora, Felidae. The record is from RefSeq and is a predicted model, not a curated record. The transcript has 3 exons.
CAUCACCAGCCAUCUCGGGCAUCCUGCUCUCUCGAGCGGUGGGGGGGGGCAGGGACAGCUGGAAAAUCUGGAGUGGAGAUCCACCCGCAGGCUCCGUCAAAGCUUUUCCCAGUACCGUGGGUCCUGGGUCCUCAGAGGACUGGAGGACCGGGGCGGCAGUCGUUUUCAGUCCCAGAAGCUCUGAUGGGGCAGGAUGGAGCUGGAGCCUGGGCCCCUUCCUCUCCAUCCCCAGGGAGGAGGCAGGAAAGGCUCUCUAUUCUCAUGCUAAUUAGGCAAAGCUCACCCAGCCCAGCCAGGGAACCAGGGACCAGGUCUACCGCCACGCCACGCCACCCCUCUCCCUCGCUGUGGUUUCAUCCCACCCGGAUGCUCUCAGACAGGGGCUGGGCAGAGCUGGGGGAUCCAGGGAAGCCCUCCUUUCCCGAGACAAAGGACCUGCUCCCGUAAAGAGACAGCGUGAAGGCGGAGGCAGAGCCAGGCGGGGAGGCCGGGCUCCGGGACACGGCUCCAGCUCUCAGCCCUAAGAGCCGCACCCGUCAACCCGUCAAGCCCGGGAAGAGAUGGCCAGGGUCUGAUGUGCUAUGCCUUCACCAUCUCCCCUGGAAUUAUGGAUGAGGGAGAGACGGAAGUGUGCACUCGACACCACCGACUGACUCCCAUCACAGUCUGAGGCCAUUCUUUCUAACCCGCGAGGCCGGCUGAUGGUCAAGUGAAGGACGAUGUGACAACACAACGUUCUUGGACUGGAAGAUCUCGGAGGGCCCUGAGAGCUCUAAGACUCACCCUCCCCUGGCCGUUCAGUUCACACAGCCCCAAGGAGGAGAUCUGGGCAAGCAUGGGACCAAGGUGAGUCAGUCAGGUCAGGGGGCCAGGAGAAGACCAACACCUGGGAAGAGCCAGCCACCCAACCAAGCUUGCCUUCCCCGCCGCCAGGACCUAGAGGCAGAGAACAGACCUUUCUUAAUACACCUACCCUAGACUACUCCAAGAACAUGACACGCAGAACUCAAAGCUGGCCAGCUAUCACAAUACUUGGGUUGACCAGUGACGAGAUGCCAGUCAAAGGGCUAGUCAGGAAGCCUUGGGUGCCUGUAGAGGGAAGCUCAACCUCCCAAGCCAGCCAGGAACCACGCGAAUGCAAAACAGGUCCUCAGGACAUUUCCCAUCAGGCUCCACCAAAGUUCUCUUAGGCCCAGACCCACGCCCCCCACUCUUCAUAAAGAUGGCGUCCUAUACCCAAAUCUGCCCGUCCCGAGCUUUGCCCAAAGGUUCAUUGCCUCUGAAGAGGUCAUGUGUUCUCCACACCCUGAAUGAAGAGUCCCAGCUCCCCAGCACUUUCCAAGGGCCUCAUUUCCAAGGGCCUUGCUUGGUGCUGGGGAUACCACGAUGAGGGAAAAUAAUGGCACGGUCCCACCCUCAAGGACCCUGUGGGCAAAUUGCAGCAUAGGAACUAUUCUGAAAGAUGUACAGAAGAAAAGCCAAAAUCCAUCUUAUGGCCCACCGAAUACGGUGUCAAGUUUUCCAAGUUCACACAAAGAUCCAGCUGCAGUAGCAAACUGCAGCUGACUUGCCCUGAAUCCCUGUGGAAACGAUCUUCACAGCCUUCUACUUCCCCAGGGUAAGUCGGGGGCAAUGAUAAGUGCCAUGGAUAAAGAUUAGCUGUGACCUCAUAGAGCAAGGUGUCGUCCCCUUCCUGCCUCAGUCCCAUGAGUCACAAGUCUUGCCUCUGGUGCCUGAGUUGCCUCCUGCCUCUUGAAUCACCUUCCUUUAUCUUUCCCUCACCCCCACAGCAAUCUCCCCAUUCUAGCAAAACUCCCCUCCCAGGACCCCUUCUCCUCACAAUCUCUAUCGACAAAAAUCCUCUGGACUGUCCCAGGUCUUUCUCAAAUAAGGGACGUCUCUGACUUAUCUAGCUUCACUUUAUCAUCCAUAAAUCAGAUAAAGCUUCUUGAUAAGUGUGAAUAAUGUCUCCAAACUGGAUUUUUAAUUUAAAAAUGAGGAGGGAAACCAUCAAAGAAAGCAGUGGUUGUAACGAGGCAGGAAAGGUGAAGUUAAGUCAUUCCCAAUGAUUGAGGACAGUACAUCUUCUUCGUCUUUUAAAGUAGGUACACCAUUUGUGUUUAUGCAGACCCUUGAGGACAUGAGUCCAUUCCUUUCCCAAAAAAUGCUUUGCACUGAUUUAAUUCUCCAAAGAUCCAUGACUCAAACAUUACUCACGCCUCUAACUGAAUACCACUCUUUGACCCCACAGACGCACCGGUGAGGCUCAUACAUUAUUUCAUUCAUAAAGUGUUGCCAGGAUACAAUACGAUAAAUGCCAAAAGAAAAAAGAAAAAAAUCUCCCAUUGGCCCAGGAACAAAUACAAUUAAAUCCUACACCCCACUGUGGUCUUGCUCACAGCUUCCCUAGGGUGCCUGUACCCAUCAGCCUGUGUUUUAAAUGCUAAGGGAUUCAGAUGGGAUGAGACAGUGAAAGAGACGUUUGGACCGUACAGCCCUUACCCACGAUAGCCUCAUCUCGCUGUGCCUGCUCUGUCCCAAACCUAUUCCUUCACAUCCACGGUGGGCACAUCCUCUAAAAGUGGUAUGUCCCUGCUUCAGCAACCUCCCUAUUUUCGCCCCCUUCACCCCUCUGCUAAGCACCUUCCAGGGAGGCCGCAAAGGAGCUCUGAGAAGUCAGAGCUUCCUCUAAGAGGGAAGAAGUGUAAUGAUCCAGGUAAUUAGUGGGCCUGAGAAUCAAGCCAAAAGAGGGCAAAUAAGGGCCAAUUCUACCUGAAUCAUCACAUCCUAGAUUCCAAGUCUAGCCCAGCACAAUGGGUUACUCUCAAGACUCCCCAAGGGAAGACCUGGACCCAGGCUGUCCGCACAAUGGACCGUACCUCCAGGGACGAGUCAAGGUCAGAGGAGUCCACACAGAGGUCCACCCUCAAGGGAGUCUGAGGAAUGGUGAAGAAUCCGGAGAUGGAAUCCAGGAAACCGUAGAGAAUUCUAGAAAGUGUGUUCCAAGGAUAUAAAUUCUCUCUUUGGUCAAGAAGCACGAGGAAGCCAGCAGCAUUUAAUGAAGAGACAGGCAGCGGGUCAUCAGUUCCCACCAACCAGCUCUUUCUGGGAAUUUGGAGGGAGACGUUCUCUCUGCUUCGCCCCAAUUUCCCAAAGAUUUCGGUCUCCAGGCUUCUUCCCUCUCCCCCGCUGCCCAGAUCUCUGCUGCUUCCUAAAGCUUCGGUCUACAGUACCUGUUCUGCGUCUCCUUACAGCCCAUCCAUACGGUGCCAGAUUCCUGUCCAGAAUGACCUGCUGGUCCUUCUCUCCACCAUGACCACCUCCAGAAGUCCAAGGAGCUCCAUGCCGUCCCACACACCUGUGUCUGCUUUACCUGCCUGGGACUCCGUGCUCCAUGCGCUACUGGCUUUAAAACUGGGGGCCCCGAUUGGGCCUGUUGAUCGCCCGGCACUGAGUGGCCACAGGGACGGGCUGGCAACCAGGUUCCUUAAUCUUCAGUUACCACAGUGACGUGGUCCCUAAGAGGGCAGAUGUUCUAGACCAGAGGCCAAAGAGUCGGAAGACGGCCCCUUAAAGCAUCAAUGACUCUGGUCACAGGCCCAGGGGCGGGAGAACAUCAGUUAUGCCCACUGUUAGGAGUAAAGGGGCUUUCUUGGUCUCUGGCCUCUACCACAGCUCCUCUCCCUGUCCAGCCAGGAAGCAGCCUUGAGGGGAACAUCAAGCUCACCUUGUAGAGCAGAGCGACUCCACAGCAGCAAGAGAAGAAAGGUGUUCUGCCACCACACAUCAGUUUAUACCAAACGUGUGACCGUGAGCGUUUCAAUCCCAGGGACCAAACCCGCCCUCGCACAGGGACCUCUGUGUGAGAAAUCAGGAGGGUCUGCAGCUCGUCCUUACCCAGCAGCCGGUCACUGCCCACCUGCCACGCAGGACUGGCCCUUCUCAGAGCUGCCCCACACUGAAGACGGGGUGCAGUGUCUUCACUGCAUUUUGACUUCGAGUAACCCAGUCGGUUGCCCUCAGGCUCCUCCCAAAGGAAAUAGUUGGAUUCUCACGGUCCUCCCUCCUGCUGUCUGUCAAGAGUCUAAGAAACAGUAUUAGCAGGAGGCAUACUGAUGAUAAAAGAAUUUUUUUCAAUUAUUUAUCUCAUUUUAUCAUCAGCACUCUCCUAGAUUGUGGAAAGAGUGACGACCGUGAUCUUCCUUUUACAAAAGAAAAACCCUGAUCAAGGACAGGCCGUGGCUGGCCCAAAGCCAUCAGCCGGGAAGUAGCAGGGGCUGGGCUCUGCCACAGGCAGGCAGGUGUCCCCAGAUGGUACCUGCUGAGAGACAGGGCACCCACGACACCGGUCUCGGACCUUCCCCGCAAGUCUCUUCCCUAUCCUUACGACGGAGGGGAGGUGCCCCGGGGACAGGACAACAAGGAGGAUGGGUGGGGGAAGGGCAGCACCCUAGAUGGAGGGCAGCACCUAGUGAGGGUGAGCGAGCCCCCCAGCCCGUGGUCUCCCCCCAGUGGCUCAUUCUCUCUCCAAAAGUCACCAAAGGUCAAAGCAGAGGAAACCAACGUCUAGGUAAAUGAGAUGCUUUGCCCAAGGACAGCCAGCUGGUCUUCCACAGCGCUGCACCCAGCCCCAGGCUUGCUGACCUCUACUUCAGGGCUCUCCUUUUGCCACCAUGGGGUCACCCCAACAGGGGUUUCUAUACAGAGUGUGGGGAAGGGGACGGUAUGUUUAGCCUUCAGUCGUCCCCAGAAACGGGACAAUCAAAAGCAUCAAGGAGCCUCGUCCUGGAAUCACUGAGUGCUAAAAAUGGAAAAAGACUUUUAAAUAAUUAAGUUUCAUUUUUGACCUUAUGCAUUAGCUGCAUUUUUACCACGCGAUCUUAUUACUUUUAUAAAUUAAAAAAAAAAACUGGUUUGGAGAUUAAAUUGAUAAUGCUAA